This 1026-nucleotide long non-coding RNA is filed under the name Sus scrofa (pig). RNAcentral's name for it is "lncRNA (ENSSSCG00035022702.1)". The record is from RNAcentral. Lineage: Eukaryota; Metazoa; Chordata; Mammalia; Artiodactyla; Suidae.
AUGCUGCUGCCUGACACCUGCAGAGAAGCCUCUGGGGGAAAAUGUGAUGGCGUUGACCUAACUUCAUUUUGGACUCGUCCAUCUUCAUUUCUGCCCUAUCUCUCUUUGGUCUCUCUUCCCACUUGCAGACCCUUGCGAGUGAAGAGAAAUUCUUCAGCUCCCACAGUGAGAUUUCCGACUACCUCCAAGGAAAAGACAGUCCAGUUAACAGUGAGCUUCUCAUCUGGGGUUAUCCAGGCUAGAAGGAAAGCAGAUGCCAUCUUUACAUUCGAGAGCAAGCCUCAAAUACAGCCAUUUUUUCACAUGCCAAGUCUGUAUGCAAAGACUAGAGAACCACCCUUUAAAAACUACUCCAGGCUGUUCUUCGCCAAGAAGAUGCAUGAAGACGGUAAGAGAUGGUAAGAGGUGGGGUUCAAGGCAUGGUGGGUACAGAAGUGCAUAGAAUAAUACCAGCUGACUUAAUGAAAUGCUGACUGUAAACAUAGCAUCGUGCAAUAACAUGGAAAAUAAGAACUUUGGUAACAGUAACAGCUUAGUAAUGCAGUGGUUUGAUGGAAUGUGCAAUGACCGAAUAAUUUCAGAUUUUAUUAGACAAAUUAAUGUAAAGUACAUAAUGAAAAGAACCACUAUGUCUAUAAAACAUAACUGAAAUUGAGACGAAUUGAAAGGAAACAGUCAAGUUAAGAAGUAGAAGGAGGCAUUCCCAUGGUGGCUCAGUGAUAAUGACCCCUGACUGGCAUCCAUGAGGUGGCGGGUUUGAUCUCUGGCCUUGCUCAGUGGGUUGAGGAUCUGGCGUUGCCUGGAGCUGUGGUGUAGGUUGCAGAUGCGGCUUGGAUCUGGCAUGGCUGUGGCUGUGGUGUAGGCUGGUGGCUACAGCUCUGAUUUAACCCCUAGCCUGGAAACUUCCAUAUGCUGAGCGUGCCACCUUAAAAAAAAAAAAAAAAAAAAGUAGAAGGAAAGAGAAAGGAGAAGGAUGGCAAUACAGAAAACACAAAAUAAAACAGUGGACAUAAUUCUAAUAUAUCA